This 75-nucleotide transfer RNA is filed under the name Patescibacteria group bacterium. RNAcentral describes it as "tRNA-Pro". It matches the Rfam family "tRNA". Rfam says of the family: Transfer RNA (tRNA) molecules are approximately 80 nucleotides in length. Their secondary structure includes four short double-helical elements and three loops (D, anti-codon, and T loops). The record is from RNAcentral.
CGGGGUGUAGUGCAGUGGUAACACGCACCGUUCGGGACGGUGAGACCGCAGGUUCAACUCCUGUCACCCCGACCA